UCCCUGAUGGUUAAGACAGUAAAUAAUCUGCCUGCAAUGCAGGAAACCCGGGUUCGAUUCCUGGGUUGGGAA
This is a transfer RNA of Ovis aries (sheep), 72 nucleotides long. It matches the Rfam family "tRNA". Rfam says of the family: Transfer RNA (tRNA) molecules are approximately 80 nucleotides in length. Their secondary structure includes four short double-helical elements and three loops (D, anti-codon, and T loops). Lineage: Eukaryota; Metazoa; Chordata; Mammalia; Artiodactyla; Bovidae. The record is from Rfam.